This 484-nucleotide ribosomal RNA is filed under the name uncultured bacterium. Its description in RNAcentral is "bacterial SSU rRNA". It matches the Rfam family "Bacterial small subunit ribosomal RNA", at positions 8 to 518 of the family's 1533-position model. The record is from RNAcentral.
AGAGUUUGAUUAUGGCUCAGGAUGAACGCUGGCGGCGUGCCUAACACAUGCAAGUCGAGCGAUUCUCUUCGGAGAAGAGCGGCGGACGGGUGAGUAACGCGUGGGUAACCUGCCUCAUACACAUGGAUAACAUACCGAAAGGUAUGCUAAUACAGGAUAAUAUAAGAGAUUCACAUGGAUUUCUUAUCAAAGCUCCGGCGGUAUGAGAUGGACCCGCGUCUGAUUAGCUAGUUGGUAAGGUAACGGCUUACCAAGGCGACGAUCAGUAGCCGACCUGAGAGGGUGAUCGGCCACAUUGGAACUGAGACACGGUCCAAACUCCUACGGGAGGCAGCAGUGGGGAAUAUUGCACAAUGGGCGAAAGCCUGAUGCAAGCAACGCCGCGUGAGUGAUGAAGGCCUUCGGGUCGUAAAACUCUGUCCUCAAGGAAGAUAAUGACGGUACUUGAGGAGGAAGCCCCGGCUAACUACGUGCCAGCAGCUGC